UAGUCCACGCCCUAAACAAUGUGCACUAGAUUGGGGAUGUCCUAAGGCGUUCCCGGUCGGAGCGAAAGCGUUAAGUGCACCGCCUGGGGAGUACGGUCGCAAGGCUAAAACUCAAAGGAAUUGACGGGGGCUCGCACAAGCGGUGGAGGAUGUUCUUUAAUUCGAAGCAACGCGAAGAACCUUACCUGGGUUGAACUACGCCGAAUUAGCUCUCCGAAAAGAGAGUGACGCUCUUUGAGUGGAACGGUGAUAGGUGUUGCAUGGCUGUCGUCAGUUCGUGUCGUGAGAUGUCGGGUUAAGUCCUUUAACGAGCGAAACCCUUGCCGUUAGUUGCCAGCAAGUGAUGUUGGGCACUCUAGCGGGACCGCCGGUGUCAAACCGGAGGAAGGUGGGGAUGACGUCAAGUCAUCAUGGCCCUUACGCCCAGGGCGAGAAACGUCCUACAAUGGCCGAUACAAAGAGUUGCGAUACCGUAAGGUGGAGCUAAUCUCAAAAAAUCGGCCCCAGUUCGGAUUGGAGUCUGAAAUUCGACUCCA
This 536-nucleotide ribosomal RNA is filed under the name uncultured bacterium. RNAcentral describes it as "bacterial SSU rRNA". It matches the Rfam family "Bacterial small subunit ribosomal RNA", at positions 791 to 1320 of the family's 1533-position model. The record is from RNAcentral.